This 1601-nucleotide long non-coding RNA is filed under the name Salmo salar (Atlantic salmon). RNAcentral's name for it is "lncRNA (ENSSSAG00000087021.1)". Lineage: Eukaryota; Metazoa; Chordata; Actinopteri; Salmoniformes; Salmonidae. The record is from RNAcentral.
GUCACAUCCUCUGCAUCCAUUUUGUGGUCAUAAUGGUGUUCUGAGUUUGUUAUAACCAAUUUAUUGAUGUGAUUAUGACAUGCUAUAAAUUGGUCACUUACAUGAGAAAAAGGUACACUUGUCACGUCAAGAGAGCAAGGCUUGAGGGAAUAGGGAAUGCUUUUCCUAAACAAAUUAGGAAUUUCGUUAACAACUUUUCAUUCAGAAAUUGCUAUAAUUAUGUUGCAGCUUCAGCAAUACGGACAUCGCUAUACACACUGUUGAUGUGUGGUGGUCGCUGCAGCAGGGAGGAGAGAGAGACAACGGGUGCUAGUCACAAAGUCACUCGCUAUCUUUUUUAUUUUAACACAUUGCAGCAAGUCUGAGCCAGGUGGCACAGCCAAAUGCAUUGUGGUUGAACUCCCUGUAGUCAUUUGUGCGUCAAUUAUUUCAUCAAACAGUUCGCUUAAAAGAAUCAGACACGCUCAGUGGAUAUAGUUGAUUUAAAUAAAGCACAUAGGAUGUGUCUAUAUGGAAAAAUACACGUUUUAAAAUUUCGACCAAUGGAUUCGUCAAAAGAACAGAUGACUCUUGGUCGACCAAGAUUUUUUUUAGUCGGGGACAGCCCUAGUGCCAGCGCUUAACGUCCAGCCAGCCAUAAGAUUAGCCAAUGCUGUACUGAACACUCAGUCUGCAGCCAAGCUAUUCGUUUGCAUUUAGGCUAUUAUCCACUUCAUCAACAGGUGUAUGUCAAAUAAACGAACAUGGCAGAGCAGAAAAUUGAAGAUCAAGAGAUAGGCAACAAAAAAACACGGGAAGAAAGGGCAUCUCUAUCAAAAAUACAGCAUCGCUGCUGUAACGUGACAUUUUCUAAGGCUUCCAUUGGCUCUCAGAAGGCGCCAGAAAGUGGAACGACGUCUCUCCAGUCUCUGGGCGAAAAACAGCAGGAGAUUUUGUGAGUGGUCAGGCUGAGAACAGUGACACUGGAGAUGCGCGUUCAUGUGAAUUCUCCAUGUUUUUCUUUCUCUCUUUGAACUAAUACAACGUCGCCCGGUUGGAAUAUUAUCGCUAUUUUACGAGAAAUUUAAUUGUUUUUUUGUUUUUUUAAAUCACAUAAAAAUGUAUGUUAAACAGCAUUUGACAUGCUUCGAAGUAUGGUAAUGGAAUACUACGUAGUUCCCAUGAUGUCUGUAUAGCGACCAGAUAUUUCUAACCUCUAUAAUACUUAUUAGAAACAUUAUGAAUGUGCCUAUAAUGUCCCAAACGGGCUAUGGCAUUCAGUACCUCUGGAAGACUUAAGGGGAACGUUACAAAUGUCUCAGUUACUUUCCUUGUAAAGUCUCCUGACAUUUAGAACCUCUAAAGUACUUAUUUCCAAAGUAACAAAUGUUCCUACCCACUUAGAAAGCAAUGUCCCAGGUAACAAGGAACGUAACUGAAACAUUUGUAACAUUCCUCUUAAGUCUUCCAGAGGUACUGAAUGUCAUAGCGCAUUUGGGUCAUUAUAGGCACAUUCAUAACGUUUCUAAUAAGUAUUAUAGAGGUUAUAAAUAUCCGGUCGCUAUAGAGACAUCAUGGGAACAUUAAAAACGUUCCUUGGUAGUCCAUGAAAGGUUCUGAAU